Long non-coding RNA from Clupea harengus (Atlantic herring), 743 nucleotides. RefSeq lists it as uncharacterized. Lineage: Eukaryota; Metazoa; Chordata; Actinopteri; Clupeiformes; Clupeidae. The record is from RefSeq and is a predicted model, not a curated record. The transcript has 2 exons.
AAUAACUCGACUAUGCAAGGUAUCCUUCCAGCGAAACGUCUGCUCAACAGCUAACGUUAGUGGACUGAUAGCGUAGUUAUACACUUCCUGACUUAUCAGAGUAACAAUCAGGUAAUAAUAGCAGUCGAAGCUAAAAUCAUAUGGUACAUCCUCCUCACCCUAUAUUUCCCUGACCAGCUAGUCUAUUACCCAACCCAACUGCGUUAAUUAUAGCUAGCACUAGAGUAAAUUAUUAGCUAACGCUAAGAGGAUGAUUAUUUCACCUCUAUGGAGCUGUUAAGAUGAAGAAGCCAAUAUAAAUGCAUGGCGGAGGGCUGUAAUGCUUUUUUCGAACACAAGUAAAAAAUCUUGCCAGCUGUCAUAACUGUCAAAAGACCAGGUCUUUUCCAUUUUUUCGCAUAAAGUGUGCAAGGCGAUAUAACAAUGCACCGACUCUUUCCAAACCUGGCUAACUGGCUGGCUAGCAUCCUGGCAAGCACACCGAGCUAUCGUCAGCUAGCUCACUGGAAGCAUCGUUCGUUUUCUAUUGGCUUUGUCCGAUCACAUUUAAAGACGACCAGCUGCCGUCAAGAACUUCCUCUACAGCAUCCGCCAUUGCUGUGUUGACGUCCACGUCUAAAUUGCCGUAAACAUUACCAUUGUGUCGCGCUUGUUAAAUGACACUUGUUGCCAACCUCUGUAAAAUGUGAUCUGUCAUAUCUCCAUUAAUCAGCUAGAUUUGAAUAAUAAACAAACAAACAAAA